RNAcentral lists this transfer RNA (77 nucleotides) under Chloroflexota bacterium. RNAcentral describes it as "Chloroflexi bacterium (cold seep metagenome) tRNA-Val". It matches the Rfam family "tRNA". From Rfam's summary of the family: Transfer RNA (tRNA) molecules are approximately 80 nucleotides in length. Their secondary structure includes four short double-helical elements and three loops (D, anti-codon, and T loops). The record is from RNAcentral. Lineage: Bacteria; Bacillati; Chloroflexota.
GGGCGGUUAGCUCAGUUGGUCAGAGCGCUGCGUUGACAUCGCAGAGGUCACUGGUUCAAGUCCAGUAUCGCCCACCA